Molecule: unclassified non-coding RNA, 466 nt
Filed under: Hevea brasiliensis (rubber tree)
Lineage: Eukaryota; Viridiplantae; Streptophyta; Magnoliopsida; Malpighiales; Euphorbiaceae
Source: RNAcentral
GGUGAACCAGAAAACAAGAACUGAGACGCUUUGACAUGUGUGCAUACCAGAGUGAUAUGAAGACCAGUGGAGACCCAAGAAAAAAAAACAUGCAACUGUCUCUUCAAGCGUUACUUCAGGCAUGGCCAAACACGUGAAAACAUAUUAUUUACAAGUUCAGCAAGUAACUUUUGAUCCUGAGGUAUCACAAAAUCAUGAUCGCAGUUGGAGAAAUCAUAACUUCCAUGAUAACCUUGUUGUGGAUGAUGAUGACGGGAAUAAGGUUCUGCCUCAGCUCCGCUGGAAACUAAAGGCAUCGUUGGCGGUGAAGGCGGUGGUCGUGUAUGCUUUCUAGCUACCUUUUCUUGUUUGCUCAUUUUUCUUUCUUCUGAUACAUUAAAAAUGCAACAUGCACGAUGCAGACGAAGCAUAAUUGCUUGUGACACAAAAACUAAAUUGCUUAUCUUUCUUUUAACAUAACUUUUUU